This 161-nucleotide unclassified non-coding RNA is filed under the name soil metagenome. RNAcentral's name for it is "partial internal transcribed spacer 1". The record is from RNAcentral.
GUGAUUAAAUCGAGGCGUGUCUUCAUUGACCGCUCACCCUUCUCACCAUCCACAUACACCUGUGCACUGUUUAUGACCUGUAGCCUGCGUUUCUUCCGGUCCAGGUUUAUCAUUCAUACAAACUCUAGUACUUAUAAUGUAAACGUUUUAAUAACAUAAUA